This 1315-nucleotide ribosomal RNA is filed under the name Thyas honesta. RNAcentral describes it as "16S ribosomal RNA". Lineage: Eukaryota; Metazoa; Arthropoda; Insecta; Lepidoptera; Erebidae. The record is from RNAcentral.
AACAUUUUUAAAUAAAAAAAAAUUAAAUAUUUUAAUGGGGGUUAAAGUAUUUUAAUAGAAAUAAUUUAAAAAUUUAUAGUGAAUUAGUAUUGUAAAAGAAUUUUGAAAUAAAUGAAAAAAAAAUUAAUAAAAAGUAAUUUUUAUUUAAUGUAUCUUGUGUAUCAGAGUUUAUUAAUAAAUAUAUUAAGAAUAUAAUAAUUCUCGAAUUUAAGAGAGAUAAUUAAUUAAAAAAGUUAUUGUGGUAAAAAUAUUUUAAAUAAUUAAUUGGAAAUGAAAUGUUAAAUCGUUCUUAAAUAUAUCUAGUUUUUUUAGAAAAAAAUUUAAUUUAAAAUUUAUGAAAAAUUUAUUAAUUAAUUAAUUAAUUAAUACAAUAUUUAAAUUUAAUAAUUUAAGGGAUAAUCUUUAAUUUAAAUAAAUAUAAUAAAUAAAAUAAAAAUUAAUUGAAAAUUAUAUAAUUUAAAUUGUUAAUAAAUUUUAAUUUAUUAUAAAUAAUUUCAUUUAAAUUAAAAUUUAAUAGAAAAAUUUAUUUUUUUAUAAAAAAAAAAUUUUUAAUUAUAUAAAAUUAAAUAUAAUGAUAAAAUUAGUAUAUUUAUGUUAUGAAAAAAAAUAAAAUAAAAAUUAAGUAAUUAAAAGGAAUUCGGCAAAAAUUUAUGUUCACUUGUUUAACAAAAACAUGUCUUUUUGAAAAUAAUAUAAAGUCUAAUCUGCCCACUGAUUUUUAAUUAAAGGGCUGCAGUAUAUUGACUGUACAAAGGUAGCAUAAUCAUUAGUCAUUUAAUUGAUGACUUGUAUGAAAGAUUGGAUGAAAUAUAAACUGUCUCUUAAUUAAAUUAUAGAAUUUAAUUUUUUAGUUAAAAAGCUAAAAUAAAUUAAAAAGACGAGAAGACCCUAUAGAGUUUUAUAUUUAAUUGAAUUUAAAUUAUUUUUAAAAUUAAAAAUUUAAAUUUAAUUAAAUAUUUUGUUGGGGUGAUAGAAAAAUAAAAAUAACUUUUUUUUUAAUAAAACAUAAAUAAGUGAAAAUAUGAUCCAAUUUUAUUGAUUAUAAGAAAAAAUUACCUUAGGGAUAACAGCGUAAUUUUUUUUUUUAGUUCAAAUAAGAAAAAGAGUUUGCGACCUCGAUGUUGGAUUAAGAUAAAAAUUAAAUGCAGAAGUUUAAAUUUUUUGAUCUGUUCGAUCAUUAAAAUCUUACAUGAUCUGAGUUCAAACCGGUGUGAGCCAGGUUGGUUUCUAUCUUUUAAAAAAUAAAAUAUUUUAGUACGAAAGGAUUAAAUAUUUAAAUUAAAUUUAAAAAAAAUGAAUUUUAUUAAUUUUAAUU